RNAcentral lists this ribosomal RNA (253 nucleotides) under uncultured bacterium. Its description in RNAcentral is "partial 16S ribosomal RNA". It matches the Rfam family "Bacterial small subunit ribosomal RNA", at positions 524 to 776 of the family's 1533-position model. The record is from RNAcentral.
UACGGAGGGUCCGAGCGUUAUCCGGAAUUACUGGGUUUAAAGGGUACGUAGGCGGCCAUUUAAGUCGGGAGUGAAAUGCUACAGCUUAACUGUGGAAUUGCUUCCGAUACUGAUUGGCUUGAAUCAGGAUGAGGUAGGCGGAAUGCGCUAUGUAGCGGUGAAAUGCAUAGAUAUAGCGUAGAACACCAAUUGCGAAGGCAGCUUACUAGACCUCGAUUGACGCUGAGGUACGAAAGCGUGGGUAGCGAACAGG